Molecule: ribosomal RNA, 1926 nt
Filed under: Enterobacteriaceae bacterium TzEc077
Lineage: Bacteria; Pseudomonadati; Pseudomonadota; Gammaproteobacteria; Enterobacterales; Enterobacteriaceae
Description: partial 23S ribosomal RNA
Rfam family: Bacterial large subunit ribosomal RNA
Source: RNAcentral
GUUGUAUAGUCAAGUAAUUAAGUGCAUGUGGUGGAUGCCUUGGCAGUCAGAGGCGAUGAAAGACGUGAUAGCCUGCGAAAAGCUCCGGGGAGGCGGCAAAUAUCCUUUGAUCCGGAGAUGUCUGAAUGGGGGAACCCACCUACUUUAAGGUAGGUAUUGCAACAUGAAUACAUAGUGUUGCAAGGCGAACGAGGGGAAGUGAAACAUCUCAGUACCCUUAGGAAAAGAAAUCAAUUGAGAUUCCCUCAGUAGCGGCGAGCGAACGGGGAUCAGCCCAUUAAGUUAUGUGUGUUUUAGUGGAACGCUCUGGGAAGUGCGAACGUAGAGGGUGAUAUUCCCGUACACGAAAGGGCACACAUAAUGAUGACGAGUAGGGCGAGGCACGUGAAACCUUGUCUGAAUAUGGGGGGACCAUCCUCCAAGGCUAAAUACUCCUGACUGACCGAUAGUGAACCAGUACCGUGAGGGAAAGGCGAAAAGAACCCCUGUGAGGGGAGUGAAAUAGAUCCUGAAACCGCAUGCAUACAAGCAGUGGGAGCACCUUCGUGGUGUGACUGCGUACCUUUUGUAUAAUGGGUCAGCGACUUAUAUUCAGUAGCGAGGUUAACCGUAUAGGGGAGCCGUAGAGAAAUCGAGUCUUAAUAGGGCGUUUAGUUGCUGGGUAUAGACCCGAAACCAGGCGAUCUAUCCAUGAGCAGGUUGAAGGUUGGGUAACACUAACUGGAGGACCGAACCCACUGUCGUUGAAAAGCCAGGGGAUGACUUGUGGAUAGGGGUGAAAGGCUAAUCAAGCCUGGUGAUAGCUGGUUCUCCCCGAAAGCUAUUUAGGUAGCGCCUCGGACGAAUACCAUAGGGGGUAGAGCACUGUUUCGGCUAGGGGGUCAUCCCGACUUACCAAACCGAUGCAAACUCCGAAUACCUAUGAGUACUAUCCGGGAGACAGACUGCGGGUGCUAACGUCCGUAGUCAAGAGGAAAACAAUCCAGACCGCCAGCUAAGGCCCCAAAAUCAUAGUUAAGUGGGAAACGAUGUGGGAAGGCAUAGACAGCUAGGAGGUUGGCUUAGAAGCAGCCACCCUUUAAAGAAAGCGUAAUAGCUCACUAGUCGAGUCGGCCUGCGCGGAAGAUGUAACGGGGCUAAAACUAUGUGCCGAAGCUGCGGAUGUAUACUUUGUAUACGUGGUAGGGGAGCGUUCUGUAAGCCGAUGAAGGUGUGUUGAGAAGCAUGCUGGAGGUAUCAGAAGUGCGAAUGCUGACGUGAGUAACGACAAAACGGGUGAAAAACCCGUUCGCCGAAAGACCAAGGGUUCCAGUCCAACGUUAAUCGGGGCUGGGUGAGUCGACCCCUAAGGCGAGGCCGAAAGGCGUAGUCGAUGGGAAAAUGGUUAAUAUUCCAUUACUUCUGUGUAAUGCGAUGAGAGGACGGAGAAGGCUAAAUCAGCCUGGCGUUGGUUGUCCAGGUGAAAGGAUGUAGGCAUGUAUCUUAGGCAAAUCCGGGGUACUCUAUGCUGAGAUCUGAUAGCAAGCUGUACUUGUACAGCGAAGUGGUUGAUGCCAUGCUUCCAGGAAAAGUCUCUAAGCUUCAGUUACACAGGAAUCGUACCCGAAACCGACACAGGUGGUCAGGUCGAGUAGACCAAGGCGCUUGAGAGAACUCUGCUGAAGGAACUAGGCAAAAUGGUACCGUAACUUCGGGAGAAGGUACGCUGUUGUUGGUGAUGGAACUCGCUUCCUGAGCUGACGACAGCCGCAGAAACCAGGCCGCUGCAACUGUUUAUUAAAAACAUAGCACUCUGCAAACACGAAAGUGGACGUAUAGGGUGUGAUGCCUGCCCGGUGCUGGAAGGUUAAUUGAUGGGGUUAGCGUAAGCGAAGCUCUUGAUCGAAGCCCCAGUAAACGGCGGCCGUAACUAUAACGGUCCUAAGG